CCGACGGUGAGGGGUGAAAGCUUGGGUCACGAACCGGAUUAGAUACCCGGGUAGUCCAAGCUGUAAACGAUGCUCGCUAGGUGUGGCACUGGCUACGAGCCAGUGCUGUGCCGUAGGGAAGCCGAGAAGCAAGCCGCCUGGGAAGUACGUCCGCAAGGAUGAAACUUAAAGGAAUUGGCGGGGGAGCACUACAACCGGAGGAGCCUGCGGUUUAAUUGGACUCAACGCCGGACAUCUCACCAGCACCGACAGUGUGCGAUGAAGAUCAGUGUGAUGAGCUUAUUGGAGCCACUGAGAGGAGGUGCAUGGCCGCCGUCAGCUCGUACCGUGAGGCGUCCUGUUAAGUCAGGCAACGAGCGAGACCCGCAUCCUUAAUUGCCAGCAGUACCCUUGUGGUAGCUGGGUACAUUAGGGAGACUGCCGUGGCCAACACGGAGGAAGGAACGGGCAACGGUAGGUCCGCAUGCCCCUAAAAGGGCG
This 480-nucleotide ribosomal RNA is filed under the name uncultured Natronococcus sp. RNAcentral's name for it is "bacterial SSU rRNA". It matches the Rfam family "Archaeal small subunit ribosomal RNA", at positions 691 to 1166 of the family's 1478-position model. Lineage: Archaea; Methanobacteriati; Methanobacteriota; Halobacteria; Halobacteriales; Natrialbaceae. The record is from RNAcentral.